RNAcentral lists this ribosomal RNA (838 nucleotides) under uncultured bacterium. RNAcentral's name for it is "bacterial SSU rRNA". It matches the Rfam family "Bacterial small subunit ribosomal RNA", at positions 64 to 896 of the family's 1533-position model. The record is from RNAcentral.
GAGGGGCAGCAUGAGCUAGCAAUAGCUUGAUGGCGACCGGCAAACGGGUGCGGAACACGUACAGAAUCUACCUUUAUCUGGGGCAUAGCCCGAAGAAAUUCGGAUUAAUACCCCAUAAUAUAUUUAAGUGGCAUCACUUUGAAUAUUAAAACUCCGGUGGAUAGAGAUGACUGUGCGUCCCAUUAGCUAGUUGGUAGGGUAACGGCCUACCAAGGCGACGAUGGGUAGCUGGUGUGAGAGCACGACCAGCCACACGGGCACUGAGACACGGGCCCGACUCCUACGGGAGGCAGCAGUGAGGAAUAUUGGUCAAUGGACGCAAGUCUGAACCAGCCAUGCCGCGUGAAGGAUGAAGGCGUUCUGCGUUGUAAACUUCUUUUAUCUGGGAAGAAACCUACGAUUUCUAUUGUAGCCGACGGUACCAGAAGAAUAAGCACCGGCUAACUCCGUGCCAGCAGCCGCGGUAAUACGGAGGGUGCAAGCGUUAUCCGGAUUCACUGGGUUUAAAGGGUGUGUAGGCGGAUAUUUAAGUCAGUGGUGAAAUCUCCGGGCUCAACCCGGAAACUGCCAUUGAUACUAUUUAUCUUGAAUUCUGUUGAGGUAGGCGGAAUACAUCAUGUAGCGGUGAAAUGCUUAGAGAUGAUGUAGAACACCGAUUGCGAAGGCAGCUUACUAAACAGAUAUUGACGCUGAGGCACGAAAGCGUGGGGAUCAAACAGGAUUAGAUACCCUGGUAGUCCACGCCCUAAACGAUGAUUACUCGACAUACGCGAUAUUACUGUGUGUGUCUGAGCGAAAGCAUUAAGUAAUCCACCUGGGAAGUACGUCCGCAAGGAUG